This 1062-nucleotide ribosomal RNA is filed under the name Triticum aestivum (bread wheat). RNAcentral describes it as "partial small subunit ribosomal RNA". Lineage: Eukaryota; Viridiplantae; Streptophyta; Magnoliopsida; Poales; Poaceae. The record is from RNAcentral.
AUGAGCUACCCUAUCCAGGUGCCAGGCCACGACGCCAUCAUCCCGAUGAUCGACCACUUCCUCUACCGCACCGCCGGCGGUGGCUCCCCGCCGUCUCUGGAGCGGCUCCCCCCUCUUGACGGGACCAUCGCCCAGCUCCAGGACCGAAUCAAGGCCCGGGCCAGUGACGACGCCACCACGAAUCAGCUUUUGCGCAGGGUGCGGGGCCUGGACCUAGGCGUCCUGUGCCGCGGAGGGGACGAGGUCGCCGUCGCAGAGCUCGAGAUCACCGGGUCCAUGGCGCCGCCCAAGCUCCACGUCCUGUGCCCGUCCACCUCUAGCAGCUGGGAGGUCAAGCAUCCGCCCAUCAUUCCCUGCGACGCCGCCAGGGAAUUUGAUCUGGGGGAGUUCUUGAGGUGCUUUGAUGCUCACGCGGUCGUCCCCUUCAGGAGCUACCUGUGCUGGGUCGAUUACUCCCUUGGUAUCUUGUUCUGCGAUGUGUUCGAUGAGAGCCCCAAGCUCCUACACCUGGAACUCCCAGCUAAAUUGCCCCAAUUGCAUCGCGAAGUCAUGGGCCGAGCAUGGGCAGAGGCAUACCACGCCGUCGGCGUCACAGAGGGCGAGGUCAUGAAAUUUGUCAAACUUGUCCGUGACAAGGACGAGUUCUCUGAAACCAUGGCGCCUGCCACCGAUGCUUUCACCAUCACCUCCUGGGCACUGAGAAUAACAGAAAGCGACGGCAUGAUGAAGUGGGAGCAGGAUGCAUUUCUCAGAUCCAGCGAGAUCGGGUUUGAUGGAUUCACACAUCUUCCUCGUACCCCAUUGGAAUUACCUCUCUUCAGCAUGUAUGAGCCCAGUGUCGUUUACUUCAUGAUCGGGCAGGACCAGGCGUCGUACAUGUAUAAUAAGGUAUGGAUUGUUGCCGUUGACAUUAGCAACGGCAAGGUGAAGUCUUCAUCUGCAUACAUCAAUGGUGUAGGACAGGUGGGGGACCUCUGUGGUGAGGAAGCGCUGUACUUUGCCAGAGAAAAACCCCAGUGUUACACUAGCUUUCUUACCUGCCGACUUCGCCAAGCACCUUAA